AGUUCUCUUCUGUGAGUCAUAGAAUAAAUAUUGAUCAUUGUUCAUAAACGUUGUACCUGUCCGCGGUGCGCUUCAUCAGGAUUAUCACGUGGCGCAUCGCUGUCCGCGACGUGUGAUUUUAAUUUCAUAUCCUAAUAAAGGAUUUUUCCCGGUAAGGUGAAGCUUGGUGCACCUCGAGAUGAAGAUAUCAUCGAUUGAAGACAUCGCGUUUAAUCGAGAUAACACAUUUUUGAUACAAGGCGAUAGAUAAUCGUAAAAGUUCCAACUUACAUGUACGGCGAGCAUUUUCGCACGAGCAACAUCAUCGUCACCAGUAUCCCGACGAAGAGGAUGCCGAAGACGGCCCCGACCACAAGAGCGACAUUCAGCUCCGCGUCUAAUAUUGCAAAAUAUAAGUAAUAUAAGAAAUACAAAAUAAUAGGAAAUUUCUGUUAGAUAACAACACGAGCGAGAUUAAAAUCGAUAGAUUCAAAAUUACAUGUCUGUCGCCUUUUCAGCUGAAUUGGCUGCAUUAUUAGUUCCCCAAAUAGCAAAAACUGAUGUCAUUAUAUAAAAAUAAAAAUGACGUAUAUGUUUGCUUUCUGGGUCAGAGUUUAUCUUUUUCCUUUCAAUCUAAAGUAAAAAAAGCUAAACUCUGAACUAGUGCAGCCAGUUGAAAAGAUUUAAUAAGUAAUAUCACAUCUUCUUGAAGUAUGAAGAAAAAUAAAGAUGUAUAAAGAAGAUAUAGAAAAAGGAUUUGAUUACUUCACAUAUUUUUUAUGAUCUAUAUGAUUGCUUCAUAUCUUCUUUUUAUACGCAUUUUUUAUUAUUUUUUUAUCUUGUAUCUAGGGGAGACCGAGGACAAAAGUAACAUUUUUUUUGCAUUUUAAAUCAGUUAUCAAUUACCUUUAGAGAUAUAUCAUAAAUAAUCAGAUUAUAUCUUAAGAUACUCCAUUUAUUGGUCUAUUAUUAUACCUAUGUUUCAUCUUCGAAUAAUAGGUAUUUAAAAAGCUACUUUAACUUUCCACAAGUGCAUUUAUUGUUACUUUCAUCCUGGGGGCCUAGGACGAAAGUAACACAGUAUAAAAAUA
Molecule: long non-coding RNA, 1070 nt
Organism: Nylanderia fulva
Lineage: Eukaryota; Metazoa; Arthropoda; Insecta; Hymenoptera; Formicidae
Source: RefSeq, a predicted model, not a curated record